Molecule: small nuclear RNA, 161 nt
Filed under: Oryza meridionalis
Lineage: Eukaryota; Viridiplantae; Streptophyta; Magnoliopsida; Poales; Poaceae
Description: snRNA U1
Rfam family: U1 spliceosomal RNA
About the family: U1 is a small nuclear RNA (snRNA) component of the spliceosome (involved in pre-mRNA splicing). Its 5' end forms complementary base pairs with the 5' splice junction, thus defining the 5' donor site of an intron. There are significant differences in sequence and secondary structure between metazoan and yeast U1 snRNAs, the latter being much longer (568 nucleotides as compared to 164 nucleotides in human).
Source: RNAcentral
AUACUUACCUGGACGGGGUCGACGGCCGAUCAAGAAGGGCCGUGGCCUAGAUCAAUGGCUUACAUUGCACUUGGUGAGCGCGUUGGUUUACCAUCUCCCCAAGUGGGAGAGUGGACGUCAUAAUUUGUGAUAGAGGGGGUACGCGUUCGCGCGGCCCCUGC